ACACCAGCGCCACAAGUGGCAACCGCUUUUAUUGGGCCUAAAGCGUCCGUAGCCUGUUUAGUAAAUUUUCUGUGAAAUUGUUGGGCUUAACUUAACAUCAUGCAGGAAAGACUGCUAGACUAGGGACCGGGAGGCGUCAGAGGUAUUCUUGAGGGAGUGGUAAAAUGCUAUAAUCUCAGGAGGACCACCAGUGGCGAAAGCGUCUGACGAGAACGGAUCCGACGGUAAGGGACGAAAGCUAGGGGAGCAAACCGGAUUAGAUACCCGAGUAGUCC
RNAcentral lists this ribosomal RNA (275 nucleotides) under uncultured bacterium. RNAcentral describes it as "partial 16S ribosomal RNA". It matches the Rfam family "Archaeal small subunit ribosomal RNA", at positions 473 to 747 of the family's 1478-position model. The record is from RNAcentral.